RNAcentral lists this long non-coding RNA (453 nucleotides) under Felis catus (domestic cat). Its description in RNAcentral is "lncRNA (ENSFCAG00000046800.1)". The record is from RNAcentral. Lineage: Eukaryota; Metazoa; Chordata; Mammalia; Carnivora; Felidae.
AUGAGCCCAUCUCCUCCCCAGUUGCAAGUCACAAUGGCAGAGGUCGCCCUGUGUAUUGCGAAGGAAUGGAAUAAGGCUUUUCUGACCAUCUUAACACGUAUCAUUCCGUAUUUUUUUUUCAUUACUGAGUUCUGUGCAGAACAGGUGGCUCUGGAACGCACUGCUGCUCUGUACCUCUGCCCCUGCCCCGCGUCACGUGCAGCGCCUUACCUGGCUCCGUCCCUCAGCACUGCACUGCGUCCUACUCAGCGCCACCCCGCGGUUCGGGAGAUGGUACCAUACGCGGGAUGGUUCUCCCUAGCGUCGAGCGGCCCGGGACCAGGAUGUUUUCCAGGACUAAUGCAACUGAUGAAAUACCUGCCCUUUUCUGCUCAAGGUAAGUGACUUGUUACUUUAUGAAAAUACCAGAUACCAGUAGAAUUCAGAGUUGGAAUAAAAAGACCCAUUCAGUCA